Clupea harengus (Atlantic herring) is the source of this 1617-nucleotide long non-coding RNA. The record is from Ensembl. NCBI's taxonomy places the organism in Eukaryota, Metazoa, Chordata, Actinopteri, Clupeiformes, Clupeidae.
CAGAUCAGCGGAGGGGCGCGGGGGGGGCCGCCGGCGCAAGGGGCGCCACCCUUCCACAGUGCCGGGUACAUGGGCACAGGGUGGCACUGACUGAAUCACAGACUCUCCCCUCGACUCGCCUAACCUUACCAAUGCCCUUCUCUAACCAGCCUAUAGACUCUUAGAGAGAGAAUGAAAGAGAGAGGGGGAGAGGGGGGGGGGGGCUGCCACACCUGUGUACCAUCGCCCCUGUGCACCUUCCUUCCUUUCCUUCUGUAAAUAUUUUUCUAAUGUUCCUGACCACGACAGCCGACAGAAAAACAUCCGUGAAAGAGAAGGCCAGGAGAAGAGAUGGUGAAAGGCUACCACAACAACACCAAGAAGAAAAUACACACACACACCCACACACACACACACACCCACAAGACAUAUGGACAGCAACCAGAACUGUUCAAGCAAUCUCCAGAGACUAAAUAAAUAAGGUGUAAUAUGAAGGUGGACAAUUUAACCCUGAUGCUUCCCUCCUCCCCCUUCCCAGUGUCCUUUUCAGGGCGCUACUCUUGUCCUUGACUUCAUUUUAUUUUUGUAAUGUCUUCCCUUAGGCCCCGUGUCCCUCUACCUUUGUUUGUCUAACGACCCCCCCCCCCCCCCCCCCCUGCACUUUCUGUAUUGAUGGACAUUCCAACCUAACCCCCCCACCCCCCACGUCCUUAUGUCUGCACCGUUUUGUUUUAUCUAGUGGUUCAUUAUAGCGAAAGAGUUAAAGGAAAAAAAAAACAGCUUUUUGUAAAGAGUAAAAAAAUUACAGAACUAUUAUUUUUUUUAUUCCUCCAUGUAACAAGAAAAAAAAAAUGAUCUGCGCACCGCUGUAGAGAUUCAAAGGAAGAACUUAGUGGUAGGCCGCUUCACUGCCCCAACAGUCUGCACUUGAGUAUGAGUAUGAGUGUGUGUGUGUGUAUGUAUGAGUGUAUGUAACAGCCACGUAGACACACACUGUGGAUGUUUGUCUGUGUUUUUGUCACUUGUAUGUGUGUGUAUUUGUGUAUGCAUGUUUGUCGGUGGUGUGUGUGUGUGACUUGGAGGGGGGGGGAUAUUGGGCUGAAGAGGGCGUCGUGCAGUGCAGCGGUCUGCUUGCCGUGGCCCCCGCCGUGAGUGUGUGUGUGUGUGUGUGUGUGUGUGUGUGGGGUAUGGCUUGCCUGGUCAUCAGCGGUUUAUUUUUGAAUAUCAAUGGUUAUUUGUAGAAAGUGUAAUUUAAUUGUAUAGGUGGUUUUACUCCAGCUUUCUCCAGAAACAGGUUGUAAAUAUUCGCUUCCUCUCUCUUUCUUUUCUAUUGCUUGUACAAUUCACUUCCCAUGCCCAUUUUGGAAUAAGGUUGUAAAUAGCGAGUGCUCUCUUGGCAAAAGCUGAAUGUUUCUGUGACUGUAGCACUACUUUUAUUUUAAUUUUCUUUUUGUUUCCUCCUCUCUGGACUAUUCUAUUUUGUCUUCUUCUUUUUUAUUUUUAUUUCUGUGUGUGUGCGUGGGUGUAUGUGUGAGUGUGUGCGUGGGUGUGUGUGUAUGUGUGGAGAGCGACUCAGACACAGCACUGGUUGGCUAUUUUCAUGGUUCAUUAUAAUAAAUCACUGUAAUGACAGUUUUA